AACGAACGCUGGCGGCAGGCCUAACACAUGCAAGUCGAGCGAGCAUUUCGGUGCUAGCGGCGGACGGGUGAGUAACGCGUGGGAACGUGCCCUUUUCUGCGGAAUAGUCCUGGGAAACUGGGGGUAAUACCGCAUACGCCCUUUUGGGGAAAGAUUUAUCGGAGAAGGAUCGGCCCGCGUUGGAUUAGGUAGUUGGUGGGGUAAUGGCCCACCAAGCCGACGAUCCAUAGCUGGUUUGAGAGGAUGAUCAGCCACACUGGGACUGAGACACGGCCCAGACUCCUACGGGAGGCAGCAGUGGGGAAUCUUAGAAAAUGGGGGCAAUCCUGAUCUAGCCAUGCCGGGUGAGUGAUGAAGGCCUUAGGGUUGUAAAGCUCUUUCAGCUGGGAAGAUAAUGACGGUACCAGCAGAAGAAGCCCCGGCUAACUCCGUG
RNAcentral lists this ribosomal RNA (433 nucleotides) under uncultured bacterium. Its description in RNAcentral is "partial 16S ribosomal RNA". It matches the Rfam family "Bacterial small subunit ribosomal RNA", at positions 29 to 507 of the family's 1533-position model. The record is from RNAcentral.